This 468-nucleotide ribosomal RNA is filed under the name uncultured bacterium. RNAcentral describes it as "partial 16S ribosomal RNA". It matches the Rfam family "Bacterial small subunit ribosomal RNA", at positions 28 to 507 of the family's 1533-position model. The record is from RNAcentral.
GACGAACGCUGGCGGCGUACUUAACACAUGCAAGUCGAACGGAAAGGCCCUGCUUUUGUGGGGUGCUCGAGUGGCGAACGGGUGAGUAACACGUGAGUAACCUGCCCUUGACUUUGGGAUAACUUCAGGAAACUGGGGCUAAUACCGGAUAGGAGCUCCUGCUGCAUGGUGGGGGUUGGAAAGUUUCGGCGGUUGGGGAUGGACUCGCGGCUUAUCAGCUUGUUGGUGGGGUAGUGGCUUACCAAGGCUUUGACGGGUAGCCGGCCUGAGAGGGUGACCGGCAAAAUGGGGAAAGAGAACCGGCCCGUACUCAGACGGGGGGGAUGAGUGGGGGAUAUUCCACACGGGGAGGGAGCGAUAUGCACAAACGCCGCGGGGUGGGUGGGGGCGUGGGGGUUGAAACCGCUUUGCGCGUGUGAAAAGGGGUGGUUGAGGUAAGUGGGAAAGAAAGCCCCGGCUAAAUAUGCG